CAGAUCCGAGGACGGGAGUGACGCAGGGCUGGGGCUUGUCCGGAAAACUGCUGGACACCAGGAACUCUUACGUCUUAGACAUAACUCAGGGUGGGAGAGACAGGAACCGCCAAGGCGCACAGAGGUAAAUAACUGGUCCGCGGACGGUAAGCAAGUAAAUGGCAAUGAUGGAAUUCUGUCUGCCACCAAGACCCACAGCUGGCCUCGCAGGAAAUAAUGUGUUUUUGAGCUGAUUCACCUUAAGGAUGUAAUAAGCUUCCAAAAUGCAACUGUUUCCUUAGAGCAUCAGCUAACGAACUAAGAAAAAGCAUUCAGAAAAGAGAUGGAAAAUUCAUCAGAGAAGUUCCAAAGGACCCAGUGAAAAAUUAUUGAAAAAUGGAAUGCAUGAGACCCAUUUAUUGCAGAUUCAAUCAAUUUUGAUAAAGUGACUUGGCUCCUUUUCCUACCAUCCUACAGAAAUAACAGUCUCUCUGUGUGUCUCAUUCUUUAUGUAUCUUGAAAUGAAAUAAGCGCAGGUCACCUAGCACUGAUCGUGGGAUGAAUAAUAAACAUAAAUAUGGUACUUUGGAGAAUCUAUAUAUUAAUGAAAAAGCUAUAUAUUUAUUUGAGAACAUUUUAAUGGUGAUUUUAAGUUAUAUUCAGUAAUUUAACUUCCUUUUUUAGUCUUUUGCAGACGAAGUAGGAUGAAGGGCAGCAUUUCUUAAUACUUGGGCCAAAUCACACAUCCUUUCAAGAACCUGAAAUAAAACUGUAAAACUUUUCUCUAUAAAAAGGCACAAGCUGUACUAAGAUGGAAGUUUAUAACAGUCAGUACUUACAUUUAAAAAAUCAGAAAGAUCUUAAA
Heterocephalus glaber (naked mole-rat) is the source of this 844-nucleotide non-coding RNA. Lineage: Eukaryota; Metazoa; Chordata; Mammalia; Rodentia; Bathyergidae. The record is from RefSeq and is a predicted model, not a curated record.